This 327-nucleotide unclassified non-coding RNA is filed under the name Hevea brasiliensis (rubber tree). Lineage: Eukaryota; Viridiplantae; Streptophyta; Magnoliopsida; Malpighiales; Euphorbiaceae. The record is from RNAcentral.
GCAAAGUUGACGAGGAUGACUAUGAUGAAUCUGGAGUCUCUUGUAGUUAUGAACUGGAUCAGUUCUGGGUGCCCCCAGAACCAGAAUGUUGUGAUGAUGAUAUGGAAGACAGUGUGGCUAAUUGUGAUGAUGAUGAGUGCGGCGAUGGCUGGGGCAAGCCAACUUCUUUAAUCAGCCUCGGAGAUGAAGGUUCUGGGAGCUACAAGUUUAAAGAGGAAAAGAGGAAGGCAUUGGAAGAAGUGAUGAAUGGGAAGCUUAAGGCCCUUGUUUAUGACCUUAUUAAGUCUUUUGGUGUUGCCUCAUCUGGGGGUGACGAUUGGGUUGAUA